RNAcentral lists this ribosomal RNA (759 nucleotides) under uncultured bacterium. RNAcentral describes it as "bacterial SSU rRNA". It matches the Rfam family "Bacterial small subunit ribosomal RNA", at positions 8 to 777 of the family's 1533-position model. The record is from RNAcentral.
AGAGUUUGAUCCUGGCUCAGGACGAACGCUGGCGGCGUGCUUAACACAUGCAAGUCGAACGGGAUCCAUGCAGUGCUUGCACUGCGGAAGAUCUAGUGGCGAACGGGUGAGGAACACGUGAGAAACCUGCCCUGGAUUCUGGGAUAACAGCGGGAAACUGCUGCUAAUACCGGAUACCUUCGGUCUGUCGCAUGGCAGACCGAAGAAAGUUUUUCGAUCCAGGAGGGUCUCGCGGCCUAUCAGCUAGUUGGUGGGGUAAUGGCCUACCAAGGCAUCGACGGGUAGCUGGUCUGAGAGGAUGAUCAGCCACACUGGGACUGAGACACGGCCCAGACUCCUACGGGAGGCAGCAGUGGGGAAUCUUGCGCAAUGGGCGAAAGCCUGACGCAGCAACGCCGCGUGCGGGAAGAAGGCUUUCGGGUUGUAAACCGCUUUCAGCAGGGAAGAAAAUGACGGUACCUGCAGAAGAAGGUGCGGCCAACUACGUGCCAGCAGCCGCGGUGACACGUAGGCACCAAGCGUUGUCCGGAUUUAUUGGGCGUAAAGAGCUCGUAGGCGGUUUAGUAAGUCGGGUGUGAAAACUUUGGGCUUAACCCAAAGCCUGCAUUCGAUACUGCUAUGACUUGAGUUCGGUAGGGGAGCGGGGAAUUCCUAGUGUAGCGGUGAAAUGCGCAGAUAUUAGGAGGAACACCGGUGGCGANNNCGCCGCUCUGGGCCGAUACUGACGCUGAGGAGCGAAAGCGUGGGUAGCAAACAGGA